This 301-nucleotide ribosomal RNA is filed under the name uncultured bacterium. RNAcentral's name for it is "partial 16S ribosomal RNA". It matches the Rfam family "Bacterial small subunit ribosomal RNA", at positions 509 to 807 of the family's 1533-position model. The record is from RNAcentral.
CAGUCGCCACGGUAAUACGUAGGGUGCAAGCGUUAAUCGGAAUUACUGGGCGUAAAGCGUGCGCAGGCGGUUAUAUAAGACAGAUGCGAAAUCCCCGGGCUCAACCUGGGAACUGCAUUUGUGACUGUAUAGCUAGAGUACGGCAGAGGGGGAUGGAAUUCCGCGUGUAGCAGUGAAAUGCGUAGAUAUGCGGAGGAACACCGAUGGCGAAGGCAAUCCCCUGGGCCUGUACUGACGCUCAUGCACGAAAGCGUGGGGAGCAAACAGGAUUAGAUACCCCCGUAGUCCCUGUCUCUUAUAC